Molecule: ribosomal RNA, 453 nt
Filed under: beta proteobacterium SCGC AAA280-N23
Lineage: Bacteria; Pseudomonadati; Pseudomonadota; Betaproteobacteria
Description: bacterial SSU rRNA
Rfam family: Bacterial small subunit ribosomal RNA
Source: RNAcentral
CAGUGGGGAAUUUUGGACAAUGGGCGCAAGCCUGAUCCAGCAAUGCCGCGUGCAGGAUGAAGGCCUUCGGGUUGUAAACUGCUUUUGUACGGAGCGAAACGGCCUGCUCUAAUAAAGUGGGCUAAUGACGGUACCGUAAGAAUAAGCACCGGCUAACUACGUGCCAGCAGCCGCGGUAAUACGUAGGGUGCGAGCGUUAAUCGGAAUUACUGGGCGUAAAGCGUGCGCAGGCGGUUAUAUAAGACAGAUGUGAAAUCCCCGGGCUCAACCUGGGACCUGCAUUUGUGACUGUAUAGCUAGAGUACGGUAGAGGGGGAUGGAAUUCCGCGUGUAGCAGUGAAAUGCGUAGAUAUGCGGAGGAACACCGAUGGCGAAGGCAAUCCCCUGGACCUGUACUGACGCUCAUGCACGAAAGCGUGGGGAGCAAACAGGAUUAGAUACCCCGGUAGUCCG